This 253-nucleotide ribosomal RNA is filed under the name uncultured bacterium. Its description in RNAcentral is "partial 16S ribosomal RNA". It matches the Rfam family "Bacterial small subunit ribosomal RNA", at positions 524 to 776 of the family's 1533-position model. The record is from RNAcentral.
UACGGAGGGUGCGAGCGUUGUCCGGAAUCACUGGGCGUAAAGGGCGCGUAGGCGGCCUGAUAAGUAGGGGGUGAAAUCCUGCGGCUUAACCGCAGGGCUGCCUUCUAAACUGUCAGGCUAGAGCACAGUAGAGGCAGGUGGAAUUCCCGGUGUAGCGGUGGAAUGCGUAGAGAUCGGGAAGAACAUCAGUGGCGAAGGCGGCCUGCUGGGCUGUUGCUGACGCUGAGGCGCGACAGCGUGGGGAGUAAACAGG